Molecule: ribosomal RNA, 468 nt
Filed under: uncultured bacterium
Lineage: Bacteria
Description: partial 16S ribosomal RNA
Rfam family: Bacterial small subunit ribosomal RNA
Source: RNAcentral
GACGAACGCUGGCGGCGUGCUUAACACAUGCAAGUCGAACGGAAAGGCCCUGCUGUUGUGGGGUGCUCGAGUGGCGAACGGGUGAGUAACACGUGAGUAACCUGCCCUUGACUUUGGGAUAACUUCAGGAAACUGGGGCUAAUACCGGAUAGGAGCUCCUGCUGCAUGGUGGGGGUUGGAAAGUUUCGGCGGUUGGGGAUGGACUCGCGGCUUAUCAGCUUGUUGGUGGGGUAGUGGCUUACCAAGGCUUUGACGGGUAGCCGGCCUGAGAGGGUGACCGGCCACAUUGGGACUGAGCUACGGCCCAGACUCCCACGGGAGGCAGCAGUGGGGAAUAUUGCACAAUGGGCGGAAGCCUGAUGAAGCAACGCCGCGUGCGGGAUGACGGCCUUCGGGUUGUAAACCGCUUUCGCCUGUGACGAAGCGUGAGUGACGGUAAUGGGUAAAGAAGCACCGGCUAACUACGUG